CCUACGGGGGGCAGCAGUGAGGAAUAUUGGUCAAUGGGCGCGAGCCUGAACCAGCCAAGUCGCGUGAGGGAUGAAGGCUCUAUGGAUCGUAAACCUCUUUUAUAAGGGAAUAAAGUGUGGGACGUGUCCUAUUUUGUAUGUACCUUAUGAAUAAGGAUCGGCUAACUCCGUGCCAGCAGCCGCGGUAAUACGGAGGAUCCGAGCGUUAUCCGGAUUUAUUGGGUUUAAAGGGUGCGUAGGCGGCCUUUUAAGUCAGUGGUGAAAGUCUGUGGCUCAACCAUAGAAUUGCCGUUGAAACUGGGAGGCUUGAGUAUAUUAGAGGCAGGCGGAAUGCGUGGUGUAGCGGUGAAAUGCUUAGAUAUCACGCAGAACCCCGAUUGCGAAGGCAGCCUACCGAGCCAUAACUGACACUGAGGCACGAAAGCGUGGGGAUCAAACAGGAUUAGAUACCCGGGUAGUC
RNAcentral lists this ribosomal RNA (460 nucleotides) under uncultured bacterium. RNAcentral's name for it is "partial 16S ribosomal RNA". It matches the Rfam family "Bacterial small subunit ribosomal RNA", at positions 338 to 795 of the family's 1533-position model. The record is from RNAcentral.